AACGAACGCUGGCGGCAUGCCUAACACAUGCAAGUCGAACGAGACCUUCGGAUCUAUUGUCGCACGGUUUCGUCACGCGUGGGAACCUUCCCUUAUGGUCGGAAUAACUCUCCGACUGGGGUGCUAAUACCGGAUAAUUUCUUCUAACCAAAGAUAUAUCGCCUUUGGAUGUGCCCGCGUGGGAUUAGCUCUUUGUGAGGGUAAAAGCCUACCAAGGCGACGAUCCAUAGCUGGGUUGCGAGGAUGAUCAGCAACACUGGGACUGAGACACGGCCCGGACUCCUACGGGAGGGAGCAGUGGCGAAUCGUGGCAAAGGGGCGAAAGCCUGAUAGAGCAAUGCAGCGUGAGUGAUGAAGGCCUGAGGGUAGUAAAGCUCUUUUAACCGGGAUGAUACUGACAGUACCGGAAGAAUAAGCCCCGGCUAACUCCGUG
RNAcentral lists this ribosomal RNA (433 nucleotides) under uncultured bacterium. Its description in RNAcentral is "partial 16S ribosomal RNA". It matches the Rfam family "Bacterial small subunit ribosomal RNA", at positions 29 to 507 of the family's 1533-position model. The record is from RNAcentral.